AAGUAGUUGGUGGUGAUGGGUUGAUUCUGGAAUGUGGGCGGCCUGGCUUGUGUGUCUUAUUCGUAAAAGUUGUUUGAGCGUUCAAUCGAGAAGAAAAGGAAGUAGUCUGAGCGGACAAAAUUUGUUGGCGGGGCAACUUGGGAUUGUCCUAAGAACGGGUGGAACCCUAAACCAAACGCAACCAAAAGAACCAAAAUCCG
This 200-nucleotide long non-coding RNA is filed under the name Gossypium barbadense (sea-island cotton). RNAcentral's name for it is "long non-coding RNA (GBAR_LNC005581)". The record is from RNAcentral. Lineage: Eukaryota; Viridiplantae; Streptophyta; Magnoliopsida; Malvales; Malvaceae.